UUAGAAUAGCUAUUCAUUUAUUCUUGUAUUUUUAUUAGCUAAUAUUUUUAUUAUUAUAAUAUUUAUUAUAUUUAAUUAAAAUAAAAGAAAUAACCUACCACUACCCUCACCCCACUUUCUCUACCAAUUACCCCACCCUUACCUACAUUAUCCCCAUGAUCCCAUAAUAUAUACUCCACUCAACUCCCUCAACUAAAAACAUAUAUACUACACCACUUCAUCCAUACACACGGACUACAUACUCCCUAUACGUACCACACACCCUAUAUAUAUUAGCAGACUUCCCACAAACAAAAGAAAGGGAGACAGAAAACGUACAGAGGCACAACCAAAAAAAACAAAAAAAAAAACAAACACACACGUCAGAAAGAAGAAAAAAACCAAUCGGUAUACCCACAAACAUUUUUCAUCUCUUUGUUUUUUUAUUACUUUUAUAUAAACACAACACACAUCCACACCAAAGCUUUGUGAGCGUUCUAAUCGAGGUUUGGUCCAGAUUUUGCGAUUCUUAUUUCUUCAUUUAAGGUUCAACUUUACCUUAUCUCUUUN
Molecule: long non-coding RNA, 549 nt
Filed under: Solanum tuberosum (potato)
Lineage: Eukaryota; Viridiplantae; Streptophyta; Magnoliopsida; Solanales; Solanaceae
Description: long non-coding RNA (STUB_LNC003449)
Source: RNAcentral